CUCCCGGAUGUUAGCGGCGGACGGGUGAGUAACACGUGGGUAACCUGCCUGUAAGACUGGGAUAACUCCGGGAAACCGGAGCUAAUACCGGAUAGUUCCUUGAACCGCAUGGUUCAAGGAUGAAAGACGGUUUCGGCUGUCACUUACAGAUGGACCCGCGGCGCAUUAGCUAGUUGGUGGGGUAAUGGCUCACCAAGGCGACGAUGCGUAGCCGACCUGAGAGGGUGAUCGGCCACACUGGGACUGAGACACGGCCCAGACUCCUACGGGAGGCAGCAGUAGGGAAUCUUCCGCAAUGGACGAAAGUCUGACGGAGCAACGCCGCGUGAGUGAUGAAGGUUUUCGGAUCGUAAAGCUCUGUUGUUAGGGAAGAACAAGUGCGAGAGUAACUGCUCGCACCUUGACGGUACCUAACCAGAAAGCCACGGCUAACUACGUGCCAGCAGCCGCGGUAAUACGUAGGUGGCAAGCGUUGUCCGGAAUUAUUGGGCGUAAAGGGCUCGCAGGCGGUUUCUUAAGUCUGAUGUGAAAGCCCCCGGCUCAACCGGGGAGGGUCAUUGGAAACUGGGAAACUUGAGUGCAGAAGAGGAGAGUGGAAUUCCACGUGUAGCGGUGAAAUGCGUAGAGAUGUGGAGGAACACCAGUGGCGAAGGCGACUCUCUGGUCUGUAACUGACGCUGAGGAGCGAAAGCGUGGGGAGCGAACAGGAUUAGAUACCCUGGUAGUCCACGCCGUAAACG
This 740-nucleotide ribosomal RNA is filed under the name Bacillus zhangzhouensis. Its description in RNAcentral is "bacterial SSU rRNA". It matches the Rfam family "Bacterial small subunit ribosomal RNA", at positions 82 to 808 of the family's 1533-position model. Lineage: Bacteria; Bacillati; Bacillota; Bacilli; Caryophanales; Bacillaceae. The record is from RNAcentral.